This 3224-nucleotide long non-coding RNA is filed under the name Lathyrus oleraceus (garden pea). Its description in RNAcentral is "Pisum sativum (pea) long non-coding RNA (PSAT_LNC014508)". Lineage: Eukaryota; Viridiplantae; Streptophyta; Magnoliopsida; Fabales; Fabaceae. The record is from RNAcentral.
UCUAAUCAAAUUUUAACCCUCCGAUUUGAAUUGAUCUAAAGCAAUUUUGAUCAAUUAAAUCCUUUGAACUUGUAUAAUCCCACAAUCUAAUUUGAGUGACCAAAAGACCAUUGGUCACUUAAUAAGACUUUUAUUCUAAGCUGGGGAGCUCAAAGCCUCAAGUCAAGAUCUUCAAUUAAGGCAUCCUCAGUCACAUCAAGCAGCAGAUUAUACAAGAUAAAUCAAAGGUCAACACAUGGUAAACAUGAUUCAAAUUGUACAAAACGAGCCUUAAGUAGUAGGGAAUGAUGAGACGCAGUUUCUCCUAUCCUUGUCUAGAGCGACUUUGCGUAUGGGGCGUAGGCCCAAAAUAUUCAAAGUGUAUGCCCUUAUUCAUAGACUUUAGUGUGAUUCAUAUCAAUCGACUGUCAAGUCUCUUAUCAAUUCAUUCUCCAUUCUAAUCAUUUCCAUUUAAUCAUUCAAAUAUUCUUUUGCCUCAUCAAUUACCUUGCUUUCAGGCCUAGUGGACUGAACUACAAAAGCUCUGAUUUCCUUAUUGCACUAUAAGGAUACGUAGGCAGAAGAACCUAAUUUUGUCACGAGCUACCCUAUUUAUCAAUCACUCUUCAUUCAUUCAAUCAAUACCAUUAUUUUGAGAUCAAUCAUACUUCUCCUUGGACUCUUUGUCUAUCCUUUUAGGACGAUCUAGCGACCGUCCACCUCAUCAAUUGAGAGUUGUUUGGGACCAAGCCCAAACACUUUUCAGUCUUUCUUUUUGGCUUUACCCUAUAGUGGCGGUCUUGCUAGCCCACGUACUGGUAAAUGCCUACCUUGCUCUCUAAUUCAGAGUCGAUCCCCUUCUUGGAUCCAAGAUACUAUUCUUAUUUGAUCUCGAACUGUUUGUUCCCCAUCUAGUGAUAUACUAUUCCUUAUACUAUAAAAUACUGCAAUCAUUCCUUGAAGUAGUAUUUGACUUGUGAGUCCUCGUUGCUUAGACAAAUAUCGCCCUCUCCUUGUUUCAUUGUAGUUAACCUCUGAAAUUGGCUUUGUCUUUUGAGUCACCGUUGCUUGGACAAAUACCUUUUUGAUACCAUUAUGUUGGUACAAAUUAUACUUUUCAUCACUGUAUGUCUCUCUCUAUUCUCGUGGUUUCGAACUACGAUUGCUCUGACUUUCUCAUUGCAUAAUGAGAAUACGUAGGCACGAGGAUGCGAAUCCUUGGCGAGCAUAUUCCUAAUUAUUCCUCCUUCCGCCUUAGGGAAUUAUUCAUAUAUUUCACAAUCCAUUACCUACCUUCAAUCAUAAAUCAUUCAUCCAGUGACAUAUUAUUCCUUUGACAUCGAAAUAUACUUUCCUUGGAAUUCCAUAUACAUCCUUUUAGAACGCCUAACAUAAAGUUUGCAUUUCUACCUAGAGUUGUUUAGGACUGUUCCCUAACACUUAAUUACUUCUUUUUUGGCUAAUCACCUUAUAGUGGCGGUCCUACUAGUCCACGUACCGGUUAAAGUUAUUUCCCUCUAUGGUACAAAUCCCAUUUCUCUUAUGGAUUCCAAUACACUUUCACCUUUGGGUUUCAAACAAUGCUUCUUCAGUCACUUAUUUCCAAAUACUAAAUUCUGUGACUUUGGUCACUUCACUCCUUUCAUCUCCAUGAUACACUCAUAUUCUAUCUUCCUUCACCCCAUGUGAUAUACCAGUUAUCUGUGAGCCAAAUACACAACCUCUUUGCACUCCUUCUUGCGUCACCUUGUGAACCAAGAGAAGUUUGGGAUUAUGCCCAAACACCUAUUUCUUCGUCUUUUUGGCUUUACCCUAUAGUGGCGGUCUUACUAGCACACGCACUGGUAACAACCACCUUACUCUUGGGUUCAUCUUUUCACCCUUGUUGGAGUUCAAAUCGCACAAUUCUUUGGCAAAGACCAUACCUCUGAUCAUACUUUUUUUCAUCUCCCACCUCUAGUUCCUUGAACUACGAAGCUCUGAAUUCCUCAUUGCACUAUGAGGAUACGUAGGCAUGAGGGCCCCAAUCCUCACCUAACGUUUUAUCUAUUUGUCUUCCUUUUCCCAUUCUUUUGCGAGUAAUCUUUAGAUAUAACACAUAUUCGAGUGAGAACAAUCAAAACGGUUCCCGUGGAGUACCAUGGAUGUUUGGGGUGCUAAUACCUUCCCCUUGCAUAACCGACUUCCUUACCCAACAUAUCUCUUUCCCCCGGGUUUUAUCGAUGUUUUCCCUUUCCUUCGGGAAUAAAUAAAGUUCUAUGGCGACUCUGUUGUAUGUUCGAGCGUGCAAUACGUUCGGGUAUAUUUCUGCUAGCUUCAUCUGGCGACUCUGCUGGGGAUUCUUCGCUACUUGGAGUACUUCCUAGUCACCAAAAGGAGUCGAGCCUAGCUUAGGUUGUUUUCUCGCUAGUUUUUAGGUGUUUAUCUUUAUGCCUUACUCACUUUACAUUAUUCGCUAUUUACUUUAUUAUUAUAUGUGAUCAGUCACCAUUUACACUGAAUUUUCAUUACUGAUCUGACUCGAAUCAGAGGCAUUUGAAACACUGUGCAAGCAUUUAUGGUACAUUUCGAGUUAGUUUUACUUCCAUCAUUUUAUUUAAGCAUUUUUAAUCAUUGUUAUGUUUUACUUUUUAUUUUAGUGAUUUUAUGCCUGGGAUAGCUGUGUUUUUGUCCAACAGGUCCAGGUAAAAGAACCAGAGAACUCAGAACGAGACAGUGCGAGAUUCCGGCAAGCAAAGGAGCAGAAAACCUCGGUACAGAAGGCCUGACACGGCCACCCGUGUCACCUGAAACGGGCCGUCUCAGGAAAGGGAAGACAUGUGAAGAAAAACAGUAGCCUGACACGGCCACCCGUGUCAGUUGACACGGGUCGUGUCAGGCAGCAUCCUCAACCGUGUCACCCCCUGCCAGGGGCGUGUCAUCCAGAACAAUAGGCUGACACGGCCACCCGUGUCAGCUGACACGGCCACCCGUGUCAGCCCAAGCCCAAAAAUCCAGUUUUUCUCGGGCUUUUUGUUCGUCGGGCUUUUUAGAGAUAUCUUUGGACUUGUCCAACUGCUGCUGGGAAUUUUCACUAUAAAAUAAGGUCUUCUGCCAAAGGAAAAAUCAUCUUGGAAUACGGAAAAACACAGUAUUGUGAAGCAAUCAAGGAUUACAGAGAUCAGGGCAUUCUGAGAGCUGAAGGUGUUCAUGAGCGGGAGCGAUUGAAGAUCAAAGUCAUUUGAUUACUUGUAAUGUAUAAUUUU